Molecule: non-coding RNA, 73 nt
Organism: Vicugna pacos (alpaca)
Lineage: Eukaryota; Metazoa; Chordata; Mammalia; Artiodactyla; Camelidae
Source: the annotation of a RefSeq genome assembly
GGGGGCAUAGCUCAAGUGGUAGAGCGCGUGCCUCGCAUGCAGAAGGUCCUGGGUUCAAUCCCCAGUACCUCCU